Molecule: unclassified non-coding RNA, 373 nt
Filed under: soil metagenome
Description: partial contains 5.8S ribosomal RNA, internal transcribed spacer 2, and large subunit ribosomal RNA
Rfam family: 5.8S ribosomal RNA (bases 1-121)
Source: RNAcentral
GAUGAAGAACGCAGCGAAAUGCGAUAAGUAAUGCGAAUUGCAGAAUUCCAGUGAGUCAUCGAAUCUUUGAACGCACAUUGCGCCCUUUGGUAUUCCGAAGGGCAUGCCUGUUCGAGCGUCAUUAUCACCCCUCAAGCCCCCGGCUUGGUGUUGGAUGGUUUGGCGGAGGCCCUUUGCGGCCACCGCCCCUCCCAAAGACAAUGACGGCGGCCUCGUUGGACCCCCGGUACACUGAGUUCUUCACGGGACACGUACUGGACACAAGGGUGCGCGGGGCACGGUCUACUUCCCUUCUAGGGAGAACUUUUCUCAAGGUUGACCUCGGAUCAGGUAGGGAUACCCGCUGAACUUAAGCAUAUCAAUAAGCGGAGGA